Molecule: ribosomal RNA, 506 nt
Filed under: uncultured bacterium
Lineage: Bacteria
Description: partial 16S ribosomal RNA
Rfam family: Bacterial small subunit ribosomal RNA
Source: RNAcentral
AUUGAACGCUGGCGGCAGGCCUAACACAUGCAAGUCGAACGGCAGCACAGAAGAGCUUGCUCUUUGGGUGGCGAGUGGCGGACGGGUGAGUAAUGUCUGGGAAACUGCCCGAUGGAGGGGGAUAACUACUGGAAACGGUAGCUAAUACCGCAUAACGUCGCAAGACCAAAGUGGGGGACCUUCGGGCCUCACACCAUCGGAUGUGCCCAGAUGGGAUUAGCUAGUAGGUGGGGGAAUGGCUCACCUAGGCGACGAUCCCUAGCUGGUCUGAGAGGAUGACCAGCCACACUGGAACUGAGACACGGUCCAGACUCCUACGGGAGGCAGCAGUGGGGAAUAUUGCACAAUGGGCGCAAGCCUGAUGCAGCCAUGCCGCGUGUAUGAAGAAGGCCUUCGGGUUGUAAAGUACUUUCAGCGGGGAGGAAGGCGGUGGAGUUAAUAACUUCACCGAUUGACGUUACCCGCAGAAGAAGCACCGGCUAACUCCGUGCCAGCCGCCGCGGUAA